This 974-nucleotide unclassified non-coding RNA is filed under the name Hevea brasiliensis (rubber tree). The record is from RNAcentral. Lineage: Eukaryota; Viridiplantae; Streptophyta; Magnoliopsida; Malpighiales; Euphorbiaceae.
GUAAGAUCAGGAAGUAUCCAAUCUCCUGUCGCAAAUGGACCAGUAUUUCCCAAAAGGCAAUCAAGAAGACCCAAAAUUCCCAUUUGCUUCCUUGACAUGUUAAAGUGAUCAAAUCCAAAAUUAUAAUAAUCCUUCAGCAUGCGUAUGUCAAGCCAAUCAUAAAUUAUCACUCCUAGGCGAAGGAUCUGAAGCAGACAUAUUGGUUUCAUGGUUCUUCCAUCUUCUGGCUGCAUCCCAUCAAAGUAUGUUCUUGUAGUCCCAUUGAAGGCCCCAGAUAAGGAUGUGAGGCUUAAUACCCAAUUCUCAGAAGUGUUCUCAUAUCCCUUAAAAGCCUUAUCAGCAAGCAUUUGCUGCAGCACUCGAACAACCUGUGCUCCAGCGGAAUGCCCAACAAAGUGAAUUGGGUGAUCCUCAUCCCAUUCAGGAUAGUGUCCUUGUUCGUAAAUCCGUCCAAAUUGAGAGUGCCCACAGGCCUUGCUGUGUUCUUCACCAUAAUCAACUUGCCCGCCUUUCAAAUAAUAGAACAACUCGCGAGCCCUAUCAUAUAUGCUGGUUAAGGACCCCAAAUCAGGCACCAGAACCUUAUCAUCUUUCUUCUCAGCCCCCGCAAAAUACGAUAAACCUCCCAAUCUCCCCUUGCCAAAUCCAAAGAUUCCAUGAACCAACACAAUCGGAGGCAGGCUAUCACCAUUGGUGGUGGUUUUUGAUGUUCCUCUGGGCUCCUCCUCUUUCACCACAAUAUUCAUAUUAGGCUUGCAAAACCAUUGGUUUAGAAUCUGUGAGAGAUCACCAGCCACAGCUGAGCUAAAUAUGUAAAGGCCAUAAACCACAUGCACUACAACACUAACAAAUAGCUCUGUUAAUUGCAGAGCAGAUAUCCACCACCUUAUCAUUUUCUCAAAUUCACCAACCAAAGCAAGAAGGAAAAGAAAAAGAAAACAAUAACCUAAAAACAGAGCCUUCUUCAAAACUAG